This 7353-nucleotide long non-coding RNA is filed under the name Homo sapiens (human). Its description in RNAcentral is "HSALNT0228017". The record is from RNAcentral. Lineage: Eukaryota; Metazoa; Chordata; Mammalia; Primates; Hominidae.
CCACCCUCUCCAGACCUGGGAAACCAGGGGAUGAGCCCACCAUGUGGAAUUCAGAUGGGCCUUCUGGCUACCCCAGGGGCCUCCAGCUCAGCUUCCUGGGUGUGUCAGAGAGGCGUGCCAGGAGCCAGAGCUGAGGAAUGAGGCUGGGCUUACUGCCACCCAGGAGGAGUCCCUCUGGAGAGCCUCAGAAAGUACCUGCAAUGGCAAUACAACAGAAGAGCCUCUAAAUAUCUCCUUUUGGGGAUACGGCAGGAAAGCCAAAGGAAAUGUGAAGAGAUGUCUGAACGCCCAGAGGAAACCAGUGGGCCCUUCCAGGAGUUCUAUUUGCGGUAAGAAACCUUGGCAUGGGGCAGCCAGCUCUCCUGCAAAAAUAGACCAAUGUGCUGAGAAGCAGCUCAAUUCUGGGAGCAAUUCCCCUCCAUGGGGAAGAGAGCUUGCACUGGGACUUAGAAGGAUCUGCCCCCUCUCUUCUUCUUGCCCCUGGACUCCAGAACCAAAAACGGGGAGAAAAAAAGGUAAACAUUUUUUUAAAAAAGAACUCUUGGCCAGGUGGAGUGGCUCACACCUGUAGUCCCAACACUUUGGGAGGCUGAGGCAGGAGGAUCACUUGAGGCUAGGAGUUUGGGACCAGCCUGGACAACAUGGCAAGACCCUGUCUAUCAAAAAAAUACAAAAAUUAUCUGGGUGUGGUGGCACAUGCCUGUAGUCUCAGCUACUUGGGAGACUAAGGCAGGAAGAUUGCUUGAGCCUGGGAGGUCGAGGCUGCAGUGAGCUAUGAUCAAGACAGUGUACUCCAGCCUGAGUGACAGAGUGAGAACCCCAUCUCUUAAGAAAACAAAAAACCAGAACUUAUGAAUGUAUCCAUGACUUAAAUCAAAAAUGGGCCAGUGGAAACACAGGGCAAAGGAAGGUUUCAAAUAAGCACCUGGACACAAACGGACCCAGGAGGUGACACACAGUAUUGAGGACCCACUCCCCAUCACUAGGUCCUUUGGCCUCAAAUGAGUGAGAUGACUAAGAAAAUAGGGCACCAUGUGCGGCAGAAGUGAGGGUGGCUAGACAGAAAAUGACGGCCUUGACUGUGAUGGUCAUCACAGACAGGACCCCUAAGAAAGGUGGCCAAGGGGGUCUGGGGACCCAUCUUUAGAAUACCGGGCUGACAGCAUAACAGGGGUUUGGGACACCACCAUGAAAGAAGACAAUGAAGCCAGGUGCAGUGGCUCACGCCUAUAAUCCCAGCACUUUGGGAAGCCAAGGCAGGAAGAUUGCUUGAGCCCAGGAGUUUGAGACCAGCCCGAGCAACGUAGCAAGACCCCCAUCUCUACUAAAAAUUUAAAAAUUAGCGAAGCAUGGCUGGGCACGGUGGCUCACGCCUGUAAUCCCAAUACUUUGGGAAGCCAAGGCGGGUGGAUUACGAGGUCAGGAAUUCAAGACCAGCCUGACCAACAGGGUGAAACCCUGUCUCUACUAAAAAUACAAAAAUUAGCCGGGUGUGGUGGCAGGCUCCUGUAACCCCAGCUACUCAGUAGGCUGAGGCAGGAAAAUCGCUUGAACUCAGGAGGUUCAGUAAGCCAAGAUCAUGCCAUUGCACUCCAGCCUGGGUGACGGAGUGAGACUCCAUCUCAAAAAAAAAAAAAUUAGCCAAGCACAGUGGCAUGUGUCUGUAGUACCAGCUACUUGGGAGGCUGAGUGAAGAGGGAGGAUUGCUUGAGGCCAGGAGUUGGAGACCAGACUGGGCAACAUAGCGAGACCUCAGCUUGGAAGUAAGGAAGGAAAGAAGGGAGGGAAGGAGGGAUGAAGGUAGAAAGAAACGGGACAAGAUGGACUCCUGAGGCCAUCCUAAUUCUGGAACACAAUACAAUGGCCUCUGUAUGUUAGGAGGGCUCAUUUGGCUUCUCUCUAAGCCAGCAGUCCACAUCUUUUUGGCACCAAGGACCAGUUUUGUAGAAGACAAUUUUCCACGGAUGGGGGCGGGGGGUGGGGGUGGGAGGGGAUGGUUUCGGGAUGAAACUGUUCCACCUCAGAUCAUCAGACGUUAGAUUCUCGUAAGAGGUGCCCAACCUACAUCCCUUGCACGUGCAGUCCACAAUAGGGUUUGUGCUUCUAUGGGAAUAUAAUGCCACACUGAUCUGACAGGAGUCAGGGCUCAGGUAGUAAUGCUCACUCACCUGCCGCACACCUCCUGCUGUGCGGCCGGUUCCCAAUAGGCCAUGGAAUGCUUAUUGGUCCACAGCCCUGGAGUUGGGCACCCCUCUUCUAAGGCAGAAGCUUCUACUGUCUUAGGAGCAGCGUCCUGGCCUCCACAGCAGGGAGAGAGCAGGAAUACCCAGCCACAGAUACUGGUCAAGAUAUUGAUCAACUUCCUACCAUCAUGGUGGAGGCAAGCCUGGAGGCCUCUGGGUGGUCAUCAGGUCACCCCAGCACAUUUUCCUGCCCCGGACUCCUGGCCACGCUGAGGUUGCUGUGAGCAGACACGAUGUGCAGGGUCAUGGAUGUGCAGCUCAAACUCCUUGACAAGCGGGAGAUUUAUUUUAUGGCCCAAGCAGUUUGGAGACAAAAUCGUAAGGUGCUCACCCAUCCAGUGUCUCUUCAGCCGGCACUGGGAGGUGUCAAACUGACCACAUUCGACUGCCCCUUCCGCCCGCAGAAUAUGGGUCUGCGUUUCUCUUUCCCUCUUGGUGGCCAAGAACUGUCAACAUCCAGCUGUGGCUCUGCACUCAGCCGCCGCUCAGCCUGCUCAGGUUGAAAGGUCAAACGUUGUCUGGAAUUGGCAGCCCAGCUUACUAGCAGCUCUUCUGUCUUCAGAGUGCAGUGAGGGGAGCUGUCAGAGGGCUGAGGCAAGGACCAGAGAGGGAACUCCUGCGACAGAGAAAGCUCAGCCCUGGUUAUGUUCUGGAGGGAGCAUAGCAGGGUCUGUCCCAGGAACUUUAUUAGUUAGCGGUUAAGAUCCUCAUCCACAGAAAAGCCGGUAGGAAUUAGCCAGGUGGUGUGUGCCUAUGGUCCCAGCUACCCAGGAGGGUGAGGAGGGAGGACUGCUUGAGCCCAGGAGGUUGAGGCUGCGGCUAGCUAUGAUUGUGUCACUGCGCUCCAGCCUGGGUGACAAAGCAAGAUCCUGACUCAAAAAAAAAAAAAAAAAAAAAAGGAAGAAAGAAGAAAGAGAGAGAAGAAAGAAAGGAGAGAAAGAGAAGGAAGGAAGGAGAAAGGAAAGAAGGAAGGAAGAAAAGGAAGAAAGAAUGACAAAGAAAAGAAAGAAAGACGAAAAGGAAAGGAAAAGAAAAGAAAAAAGAAACAAAAGCAGGAAAGUGAGGGGAGAGGGCCAGGAAGACAGAAGACAGGAUGGGCAAGAAGGGUGGGAAGGAUUCCCACACCAGAUUCAGGAGUGGCUCUGCAUUGGGAAAUCCAUCUACGACUGCUGGGGACUUGGUUUUGCAAACAUGCACAGAGAAACCUUCAUCCACCUCUGUGCAAUGUUGGACUGAAGUAGAAAUGAGCCGCUGUUUUCUGGAAGCACCCCAUUUCUUUGAGCUGAUCUUCUCUAAUAAUGAAUUCUGGUGAAGCCUGCCAUUCACAGCACCCUGCCCUCCCAUCUGUAGGAGGUGGGAACAGGACCCAGGCCAGUUGAUCAGAGAGCUCCCUUGCCCUGGGAUGAGCAUGUGACCCAGAUGUCUCAAUCAUGGGGAAGAUCCUCUUGCCUGUUAUAGCCACUAUGCUGGAAGAACAGGAUGUGGGCUUGCUGGCCGCCAUCUUCCAGUCCACGCUGGGAACCCAUCUGCAGGAGGAGGGAAGGAGGACAACCCAGUUUGAGGGAGCAUAUGGACAGCAGCUAUAGAAGGCUCCAUAUGUGCCCAGUGCUAGAUCCACCCCAUCCCUUCCUGUUCCAUAAAUCCAUACAUCUUCUCUCACUUUUGCUUACCCUAGUUUGAGUUACAUUUCUGACACCUGCCACCAUAAAAGCCCAAAUGAUUACAGAGAAUAUUUGGCUACAGGAAAGACCCUGCAGUCUGUGAAAAAAGAGGCUGCUGGUGCAUAGUCAUCGUAGACCAGUGCAAAGAGUGAAACAGAAACAUCCAGCUUAAUCUGCAAAAGCCUUUUUGGAUCCUUGAGAGGCGCUCAUUAACUUACAGCAAAUUGGUGAGCUGAUACUCUUCUUUCAUCCAGCAUGAAGUUGCAGAAGCUGACCUGGGUCCUAACUGUAAAAUGCAGAGGAACUCUAUCCAUGAGGAAGCUUUGUGAAGUCGAUUCAUUGCUAAUGUCCCUGUAGUGUCCACCACAGGAAACAUUACUAUUUGGGUUUUGUGACCCAGGAAUCCAUAUUUACCUGGCGGCAACGACACAGCCCUCACCUUUCCAGACCUCAUCUGGUGGCCUUGUAAUCCUGGAGCUGAAGCUGCCUACACACAAGCAAUCGGUCGCAGUGUAUCCGUGCAGGGUCCCAACCCACUCCAGGAUUCAUUUCGGGAUGGCUUCCCCUCCCUCAGCCAGGAAUCCUGCUUUGUGUAGUUCAGUGCCUGCUGCCAAGUCAGAGCUGUGACCUCAAUGAAAGUGGCCCAGCCACAGCAAACCUCAGUUUCCAUAACAGUCCUGGGAUCCAAUGUGGCUUUCACACUACAUGUCACUUCACUCUGUUAUCUCUGACAGAAAACCAACUCAAACUGGCUUAAGCAAAAAGGGUACUCACUGGGCCAUGUAACCAAAAAGUGUAGGCAUACAUGUGGCUUCAGGAAUGGCUGGAUCCAGGCACUCACAUGUGGCAUCGGGAGUCCCUCUCCUGGCUGUUGGUUUCAGUUUUCUCUGCAGGGGUUUCAUUCAAGCACUGGUUCCCUCCUCAUAGUGGCAAGGUGGCUGCCCAGGACAAGAGGCUUAUAGCCACGGGCUCAGCUACUUAAGGAUAAGUUCCAUCAGAAGCCCAAGUUGAGGCCGGGCUUGGUGCUCACACCUGUAAUCCCAGCACUUUGGGUGGCCGAGGUGGGUGGAUCACUUGAGGUCAGGAGUUCGAGACCAGCCUGGCCAACACAGUGAAACCCUGUCUCUACUUAAAAAAAAACAAAACAAAACAAAAAAAAAAACCAUGAAAAUUAGCUGGGUGUGGUGGCACGUGCCUGUAAUCCCAGCUACUUGCAAGGCUGAGGCAGGAGAAUCACUUGAACCUGGCAGGCGGAAGUUGCAGUGAGACGAGAUCACGUCAUUGUACUCCAGUCUGGGCAACAGAACGAGACUUCGUUGGCAAUGACUGGGUCAUCUGUCCAGUCCUGAACCGGUCACUGUGUCAGGUAGAAGCAUUGUUUGAUUGGCCAGGCCUGGGACACACGGCCAUCUCCAGACCUAGGAAUGGCAUCAUCUCUACCCAAACCCCGUGAACCAAGAGUUGGGGAGGAGCAAAGCUUCAGAGAAAACUCUGGGCCCUGUCAUCAAGCAGAGGAGGAAAGGAGGCCACACAGACUGAGACAUCAAGUACCCACUGUGCCCUCACCACCAGCUCCCGCCCUGGCCAGUGCACUCCUGGACCAUCUCUCCUCCCCGUCUUGUUCACAGUCACCCUCUCACCCCAGCAGAGAUCAGGCCAGGGUACUGGUGGCAAGUGAGUGAAGGGUUUCAGCAAGGGGGUCCCCACCUUCCAGGCACAGUGUAAGUGGACCCCCCACACUUGGGGGCUCUCCUGGGUUGCACAGUGUCCUCUGAAAAUUCACAUCCACCUGGAACCUGCAAAUAUGACCUUAUUUGGAAAUGGAGUCUUUGCAGAUGUUGUCAAGAUAAGAUGAAGUCAUACUGUUUUAGGAUGGGCCCUCUAUAUGGCACGACUGGGGUUCUUAUACGAAGAGGGACCCUGGCACACAGAUGCAUACAGGGAGAGUGCUGUGUGAUGAGAAAGGCAGAGAUUGCAGUGAUGCUGCCACCAGCCAAGGAGUCACCAUCAGCCAGGAGAUGGGCAUGGAUCUGAUUCUCCCUGGGAACCUCCAGAAGGAGCCAACCCUGCCAACACCUUGGUUUUGGACUUCUGUUCCCCGCAACUGUGAGACAAUACAUUCUGUGGUUUUAAGCUUUAUGAUAAUUUGUUACUGUAGCCCUGGGAAAGGAAUACAAGGGUAGACAGACACUGAUCAAGUAAGCAAACAAAUGUGAAAUUGCCCUGUGACAAGGGAGGUGCGGGGUGCCUGUGUUGGGGAAGAAUUCUCUGAGACUUGAAGUCAGAGAAGGAGUUAGCUAAUGGGGCCGACAGGGUUCUGCACACGCAGCUCACGGCCCAGAUCUUGUUGGCCAAGUGUUUUUGCAGGGAUUAGGAACUAAGAAUGGUUUUGCAAGAAGAACAUCACAGGCUGAGGGGACAGCAUGGGCAAAGGCCAUGAAGUGGGAGGCGCCCUCUGUGAAACCAACAAGCUUUCAGCCACGUGGGUCUCUCUGACGCGUUGCCUCAGCCACAGAGGGCUUUAAAAAGCCCCGAAACUGGACAGGUGUCACUGCCUGUGGCAGUAGCGGCCAUUUGGCGCCUGUGGUUUCAACUCCACCCGUUUCACAUGUCUAUGUUACCAGACUGGCCCCUGAAGGGGAUCUGUGUGCCAGGCCCUGACCUGCCGGGCUUUGGAAACAUCCUCGACAGUGUCCCCUGACCUGCGCCCCGCCUUGUGGAGUGAGGCCUGGUUGCCCAAGCUGGCUGGGCCGGGCUGUUUGUUGCUUCCAACAAACAUAGGAGAGAACGUAUGGCUGCUUUUUAUUGCCAGUGAGAGUUCCGCGAGGCCUGGCCCGAGAUGUGGCUGGCGUGAGGGGUCCCGGACCUGCUGUGCUGGGGACGCACCCAGUUCUGUGUCGCUUGGUCCAGUGAGGACUCGAGCCCCUUGGAGGCGGGGCCUCGGGCUGCAGGGGCGGGGCCCCGAGCCGCCUGGGGGUGGGGCCUCAGGCUCUUUGGGGGCGGGGCCUCAAGCUGUCUGGGGACGGAGCCUCCGGCCGGCUGGGGGCGGGGCCUCAUGCCUAAGGGGCGGGGCCUCGAGCUUUCUGGGGGUGGGGUCUCAAGCUUCAGGGUCGGGGCCUGGAGCCGCCUGGGGACGGGGCGAUCUGUUGGGGAGGAGGUUCUCGAACUGCUGAGGAGGAUCGCAGUGCUUUUGCUUCCUCUAGGAGACCAGCUGCACAGGCUGGAACAUGCCAUCUCUAUGCCUGUUUUCCCGUCGAUAAAUCCAGAGACAUUACUCUCAUCAUUUCUUCCUCUGUACACAAUAUUCAUAUAUGUAACCCCUUGGUAAAGCAGUUGUAAGAAUUAAACAAGAGGAAUUGCUCUUUCAUUCAGCAAAUAUUUUUUGAGCAGCUACUAGAUGCCAGGCACUGUUUUAGACGCAAGUGAUACUUCAGGAAACAUAAUCAGAC